Lotus japonicus is the source of this 462-nucleotide long non-coding RNA. RefSeq lists it as uncharacterized. The record is from RefSeq and is a predicted model, not a curated record. The transcript has 3 exons. Lineage: Eukaryota; Viridiplantae; Streptophyta; Magnoliopsida; Fabales; Fabaceae.
GCCAAACGCUCAAAUUAUGGUGUUUGUAUUCAUUCACCUACUAGAGUGUCUCAUGACAUCUCAUAUUUGAUGUCUCAAGUUUCAUUUGAGGGACGUUCUAUGCCUCAUAAGGAGCCUCCACCAUUGGAUAGUAGACAAUGUCAAUGCUAAUGAUGAACCGGUUGAAACUGCUGAUCAUGCAAAGAGAUUUCACUAAUGUUAGUGAGGGUCAAUUGAUGACAAUAUAGAUACAAUGAAGAAAUAUCUAAAAAUAAUUGAGUCUUUAAAUCCUUAUGUACUCAAAUUCAGAUGCUGGAACCAUAUAUUUCCUUUCAUGUUCAUGCCCAUUUGUCAGUUGGAUUGAACCUUGUGACAUCUUGAGGCGUACUCAGAAUUUAGUAAAGAUGUUGCAUAUUUGAGAUAUGUAAUAGCAGUGAAUUGUAAUUUUUUUUAUGAGUGACUGAACCACCUUUGAAGAGUGGU